UUAUACGACCGUACCGCAAACCGACACUGGUGCGCGAGAUGAGUAUUCUAAGGCGCUUGAGAGAACUCAGGAGAAGGAACUCGGCAAAUUGACACCGUAACUUCGGAAGAAGGUGUGCCCUAUUAGUGUGUAGUGAACAACGAAGCAUGAAUGGGUUGCAAAAAAUCGGUGGCUGCGACUGUUUAUUAAAAACACAGCACUCUGCAAACACGAAAGUGGACGUAUAGGGUGUGACGCCUGCCCGGUGCUGGAAGAUUAAAUGAUGGGGUGCAAGCUCUUGAUUGAAGUCCCAGUAAACGGCGGCCGUAACGAUAACGGUCCUAAGGUAGCGAAAUUCCUUGUCGGGUAAGUUCCGACCUGCACGAAUGGCGUAACGAUGGCCACACUGUCUCCUCCUGAGACUCAGCGAAGUUGAAAUGUUUGUGAUGAUGCAAUCUCCCCGCGGAAAGACGGAAAGACCCCAUGAACCUUUACUGUAGCUUUGUAUUGGACUUUGAACAGAUCUGUGUAGGAUAGGUGGGAGGCUUUGAAGCAGGGUCGCUAGAUCUUGUGGAGCCAACGUUGAAAUACCACCCUGGUGUGUUUGAGGUUCUAACCUAGGUCCAUUAUCUGGAUCGGGGACAGUGCAUGGUAGGCAGUUUGACUGGGGCGGUCUCCUCCCAAAGCGUAACGGAGGAGUUCGAAGGUACGCUAGUUACGGUCGGACAUCGUGACGAUAGUGCAAUGGCAUAAGCGUGCUUAACUGCGAGACUGACAAGUCGAGCAGAUGCGAAAGCAGGACAUAGUGAUCCGGUGGUUCUGUAUGGAAGGGCCAUCGCUCAACGGAUAAAAGGUACUCUGGGGAUAACAGGCUGAUACCGCCCAAGAGUUCAUAUCGACGGCGGUGUUUGGCACCUCGAUGUCGGCUCAUCUCAUCCUGGGGCUGUAGCCGGUCCCAAGGGUAUGGCUGUUCGCCAUUUAAAGAGGUACGUGAGCUGGGUUUAAAACGUCGUGAGACAGUUUGGUCCCUAUCUUCCGUGGGCGCUGCAGAUUUGAGGAAGCCUGCUCCUAGUACGAGAGGACCGGAGUGGACACACCUCUGGUGUAUCGGUUGUCACGCCAGUGGCAUUGCCGAGUAGCUAAGUGUGGAAGAGAUAACCGCUGAAAGCAUCUAAGCGGGAAACUCGUUUCAAGAUGAGAUCUGCCGGGGCCUUGAGCCCCCUAAAGAGUCGUUCAAGACCAGGACGUUGAUAGGUCAGGUGUGGAAGUGA
This 1250-nucleotide ribosomal RNA is filed under the name metagenome. RNAcentral describes it as "bacterial LSU rRNA". It matches the Rfam family "Bacterial large subunit ribosomal RNA", at positions 1634 to 2876 of the family's 2925-position model. The record is from RNAcentral.